UACGUAGGGUGCUAGCGUUGCUCGGAAUCACUGGGCUUAAAGGGUGCGUAGGCGGGUCUUUAAGUCAGGGGUGAAAUCCUGGAGCUCAACUCCAGAACUGCCUUUGAUACUGAAGAUCUUGAGUUCGGGAGAGGUGAGUGGAACUGCGAGUGUAGAGGUGAAAUUCGUAGAUAUUCGCAAGAACACCAGUGGCGAAGGCGGCUCACUGGCCCGAUACUGACGCUGAGGCACGAAAGCGUGGGGAGCAAACAGG
RNAcentral lists this ribosomal RNA (253 nucleotides) under uncultured bacterium. RNAcentral describes it as "partial 16S ribosomal RNA". It matches the Rfam family "Bacterial small subunit ribosomal RNA", at positions 524 to 776 of the family's 1533-position model. The record is from RNAcentral.